UACGGAAGGCAGCAGUGGGGAAUAUUGCACAAUGGGCGCAAGCCUGAUGCAGCCAUGCCGCGUGUAUGAAGAAGGCCUUCGGGUUGUAAAGUACUUUCAGUCGUGAGGAAGGUGUUAAGGUUAAUAACCUUAGCAAUUGACGUUAGCGACAGAAGAAGCACCGGCUAACUCCGUGCCAGCAGCCGCGGUAAUACGGAGGGUGCGAGCGUUAAUCGGAAUUACUGGGCUAAAGGGCACGCAGGCGGUUAAUUAAGUUGGAUGUGAAAUCCCCGGGCUUAACCUGGGAAUGGCAUUCAAGACUGGUUAGCUAGAGUCUUGUAGAGGGGGUAGAAUUCCAUGUGUAGCGGUGAAAUGCGUAGAGAUGUGGAGGAAUACCGGUGGCGAAGGCGGCCCCUGGGACAAGACUGACGCUCAUGUGCGAAAGCGUGGGGAGCAAACAGGAUUAGAUACC
RNAcentral lists this ribosomal RNA (451 nucleotides) under uncultured bacterium. RNAcentral's name for it is "bacterial SSU rRNA". It matches the Rfam family "Bacterial small subunit ribosomal RNA", at positions 340 to 786 of the family's 1533-position model. The record is from RNAcentral.